This 2182-nucleotide long non-coding RNA is filed under the name Musa acuminata (dwarf banana). Its description in RNAcentral is "long non-coding RNA (MACU_LNC011155)". Lineage: Eukaryota; Viridiplantae; Streptophyta; Magnoliopsida; Zingiberales; Musaceae. The record is from RNAcentral.
AUGUAAGGCAGAAUAUAAGAAUUCUCAAGGAUACCAUCUCAUUAGAUACAAAAUCAUAUGUAUCAUAUCAUUCAAAACAUAUUUGAUUCAUAACAAAUGGAGCAUAGAGUAAUUGGAGCAUAUCAAUGGCAGAUAGGACAUUUCAAAACAUAUCAGUUCAUAGCAAAUGGAGCACAGAGUAAUUGGAGCAUAUCAAUGGCAGAUAGGACAUUUCAGAACAUAUCAGUUCAUAGCAAAUGGAGCACAGGGUAAUUGGAGCAUAUCAAUGGCAGAUAGGACAUUUCAGAACAUAUCAGUUCAUAGCAAAUGGAGCACAGAGUAAUUGGAGCAUAUCAAUGGCAGAUAUGACAUUUCAGAACAUAUCAGUUCAUAGCAAAUGGAGCACAGAGUAAUUGGAGCAUAUCAAUGGCGUAUGAAAUGUUCCGGAGCAUAUCAACGACAUAUGGAACAUUUUGAAACAUAUCAACAGUGGAUGAAACAAUUCAGAGCAUAUCAAUAACAAAUACCGUACAGAAGCUCAAACGUCGUCUUUGACGUUGCAAACAUAUCAAUCUUAUCCAAAGCAUGUAUAGAAACACAUAACUAAAGCUCUGGAUAUCAUAUCAAACAUACAAAAGGUGUAGUGGGAUCUCAGUCAGAAUGUGAUUCAUCCAUUUCUGAAUGACCACCUGACAAAAGUCUCCCACGUCUGGGAGCUCCAUCCACCCACGUCUUGGUGAAGUCAAAGGGGGCCGGUAGAGCAUCGCAGGCUCUAAGCACAUACCCUUUACCAUUUCUGGCAAAGGUCCAGAAUAACACCCUUUACCAUUUCUGGCAAAGGUCCAGACAAUCCCACAACACCAGAGUACAAGAGGGCAGUUUUAACAAUAAGUAGCACAUAUCGGAAGCACACGCGGAACAACAAAACAUACAUGUGCCUUUACGAGUCAAUACGAAGUAAGCAAUAAUCUUUCACAAUGAUAUUUGGAUUUUGAAAGGAAAUGGAAUAGGCACAUAUCGAAAGCAAAUGCGGAACAAUGGGAUACACAUGUGCCUAAAUGAGUUAAUACGAUAUAGCAUAAACGUUACACAAUAGAUUUCAAGAAUGCAAAUAACUUCAAGGACAAGAGCAUACAAGAAUUCAAAGCAGUAAUAUAAAGCUCAAUUGAAUAAGAAGGCUAAAAGAUAUCAAUUUCCAAAGGAAUGAAACCAGAAUAUGAGAAAUCGACCAAAGCUCGAUUUCUGGCAGAAUACAAGAGGCACAUUGAACAGAUGAUUCAAACUAUCAAUCGUGCUCCAAUUUACUCAGAAAUAAUCAUUGGAUUAUACUUUCAGAUAAGACAGGCUUCAUAUGAAUCGAACUGUCCAACAGUGACAGUUACAAAUAAUUUGGUAAACAAGGGUCGUAGAACAAAAUCUCUGUUGGCAGAAUUCAUAAUGUCAAAUUCAACAGAUAACUGGGCAGGUGUUUGGAUUCCAAAUCUUUCAAUCCAUAUAUCAAAAGAAAGAUCUAUGAGUCUAGUUUCCAAUGAAAUAAGCUUUGAAUAAAUCCAUGUUUGCAACAGGGACUUAUAAGCAGUUCAGUAUCAAAAGGUUAGAAAUUACGAUCCCUGUUUUACAGAAUCUGUAGGCUCAUUUGAAACAGAAGUUUGGGUAGACAAACUUACUCUGAAUUCUUAAAAUAAGCUAUCAAAACAAAGGUUUAUGAGACUAUAUUCUGAUCAAAUAAGUUUUGUCCAAAUCAGAUGUCAAUACAUGAAGUUAUAAUCAUAACAAGGUAGAAAGGUCAGAAUCUUGGAAGUUGCACAGAUUCGAAUCGUUACGUCUAAACUGGAGAUAUAUCAAGUGCAAGGCUAGAACAAUUCAAAGUUCCUCAUAUUCAAAGCAAAUGUAGAGAUAAAAUUGCAGUGAGGAAAGAUCAGGAUACUUACAAUAGGAAAGAUUAGAACAAUUACAGGAGAAACGAACAGGAAACUUGCAAUAGGAAAUAUUAGAACAAUAACAGGAGAAACGAUUGGGAAACUUGCAAUAGGAAAGAUUAGAACAAUAACAGGAGAAACGAUUGGGAAACUUGCCUUUCAAGGAUUUCGAUCCGAAGAUCCAAAGAAGGUGCCUGAUAGAACCCUUACAGAUUCUAAACUUGGGGUUGAUCUCUUUAGGGGAUCGGCCUCCUUGGAACUCUAUAGGGGUUCCUCCCUCCAAG